Molecule: ribosomal RNA, 367 nt
Filed under: uncultured bacterium
Lineage: Bacteria
Description: bacterial SSU rRNA
Rfam family: Bacterial small subunit ribosomal RNA
Source: RNAcentral
AGCGAACGCUGGCGGCAGGCCUAACACAUGCAAGUCGAGCGCCCGUAGCAAUACGGGAGCGGCAGACGGGAGAGUAACACGUGGGAACGUACCCUUUGGUUCGGAACAACACAGGGAAACUUGUGCUAAUACCGGAUAAGCCCUUACGGGGAAAGAUUUAUCGCCAAAGGAUCGGCCCGCGUCUGAUUAGCUAGUUGGUGGGGUAACGGCUCACCAAGGCGACGAUCAGUAGCUGGUCUGAGAGGAUGAUCAGCCUCAUUGGGACUGAGACACGGCCCAAACUCCUACGGGAGGCAGCAGUGGGGAAUUUUGCGCAAUGGGCGAAAGCCUGACGCAGCAACGCCGCGUGUGUGAUGAAGGUCUUCGG